Molecule: ribosomal RNA, 253 nt
Filed under: uncultured bacterium
Lineage: Bacteria
Description: partial 16S ribosomal RNA
Rfam family: Bacterial small subunit ribosomal RNA
Source: RNAcentral
GACGUAGGGCGCGAGCAUUGUCCGGAUUUACUGGGCGUAAAGGGCGCGUAGGCGGCUUAACAAGUCACUUGUGAAAUCUCCGGGCUUAACUCGGAACGGCCAAGUGAAACUGUCAAGCUAGAGUGCAGAAGGGGCAGUCGGAAUUCUUGGUGUAGCGGUGAAAUGCGUAGAUAUCAGGAGGAACACCGGUGGCGAAGGCGGGUCUCUGGGCCUUACCUGACGCUGAGGAGCGAAAGCGUGGGGAGCGAACAGG